AUACAAGGUGCUGUAAGCAU
This 20-nucleotide ribosomal RNA is filed under the name Misgurnus anguillicaudatus (oriental weatherfish). The record is from RNAcentral. Lineage: Eukaryota; Metazoa; Chordata; Actinopteri; Cypriniformes; Cobitidae.